CGCAUUUGAUAGACAUCCGUGGCACCCAAUAAACGGAUCUGGGCAUUUUUUUCAAAUACGAGAAAAUGAACGUUUGGUUCCCAGACCACGUCUCAUUGAGAAGUGGUGGCGCUAGCCAGGCUACUGAGUUAAGGAAACCUCUGACUGAUGCACACAUUCCAAUUAGGGUCCCAUCUUUGUGGAGGUCUGUAACGUGGAUUCCUAAAGUGUUGUCCAUAGAGCAAUAACCUGUCCAGGCCUUGCCUUGCAUGCAGACCUUGUCGUUUAAUGUACUGUGCAGAGUUGGACCAAGUCCAUCUGUUCUGGCCAGUAGACACAACUCCCAUGAUGUCACUUAGAGCAUGGCUAAGUAGAUAACCUUAAGUGUGUGAGGAAGUAGAGUGUCUAUGCUCAGAUUGGUGGGGAAAAACUUAAAGUAUUAUUGUACAGUGCCUAACUGUGAAUGUUUUGGCAUUAAUCAAGAAGUUUGAAUUUGUUUUUUUUAAUAUGAGCUACAUUAUUUCAAAUGUUAUACGUCAUUCAACAGAAUCAUUCAGACUUAUUCCAAAGCUCCUUUAAAAAGAACAAAAACAGAGAUGCAGAUGUUUCACUUUAACCUAAAUAUAUAAUCAUUCCUGUGCUGUAGUUGGUUUGCCCUUUCAUCUUGUGUCAUUGGGCUCUUUCAUAGAUAUCCUAUCCAGUGCAUUGUUGUAAUAUUCCCUGUCCAUUCAAAAGGGCCCUGUUAUAGCACUGCAGUUCAUUAAUUUCUUCAGUUCACCUGCUGUAUGCCAUUGCAACAGCUCUAGUGGUCUAGAGGAAUUCUUCCAGUUGAGUUAAUGUGAUGAUGCACAGCCCAAACCUCUUGAGCAAAGUUAAUGGGUACUGUUGAUGACUGGUGGUGUUUUGGGCAUCUACCCAUUCAUUUAUAUGGAGAACUUUGACCAUCAGUGAGUGGGCAGUUUUUCAUGACCAUCCAAUCUGAAAACUGGGAACAGGUCAUAUAAUUGCCCAGCAACAUUGCUCAAAAAGUUGCCCCAUGUAUCAUCAAGUCUUUGGAUACUCUUAAUAAUAGGAAUUUAGCAUAAUGGUUUAUGCACUAUCGACUAAUUACAGCAGCAUCUUAAGUGAUAUUCUCCUUUACAGAAAGUUAUACUUUUUUUCUUGUCAUUUCUUUAUGGUAAUGGAUUGAUGGAUCAUGUAGCUAUGAGAUUGAAACAUUGAUUGAUAUCAGCGACUUGCUGGAUUUGUAUGCUACUGGUAGAAAGAAACCAGGCCAUGAUCUUGUUGAAUGUGCCAAGUGCUUGGCAGAGAAGGGGUAUGUAUAUCUAUGUAACACUGAGAGUGUUAAUCAUAGUUUCUAUAUGCAUAUAAUCAUGGAUCUAACCUUUAUUCCUUUCUUUAGGGUUUCCUAAACUAAGGGCAGGUGUAAAAUAAUCUUCAAAUUCCAUUCCUUGUGUGGGUUAAGAGUAAUAUUUUGUUAGAACUUCAGCUCUUAAUGAACAAAUUUUGUCUGUUGUGCAGGUCUCCCUAUAUAAAUGUGCAGUGUGUGAGGGUUGAAUAUGUGAUUUUUUUUUUCUUAGUCUCUGCACUAAGUCAACUAGACCAUCAGUUUGUAGUACCAAAGACUAGUGCAUGAGGAAUGUUGUAUAGUGUGCCCUAAAGCAGGCCUGCCCUGGGCGGGGUGAUCCCACAUACAAUAGAAGCAGUCUAAUUCACCAGGUCCUCAACACACUGAUACAUUGGACGUGGGGAACUAUUUUUGUAGGGGCCCUUUUGUAUCCAUUGGUCCUGUGGUGAAAUAAAAGAAUGCUUCACGAUGGAAA
Molecule: long non-coding RNA, 1802 nt
Organism: Alosa sapidissima (American shad)
Lineage: Eukaryota; Metazoa; Chordata; Actinopteri; Clupeiformes; Clupeidae
Exons: 2
Source: RefSeq, a predicted model, not a curated record